RNAcentral lists this ribosomal RNA (573 nucleotides) under bacterium 24BL. RNAcentral's name for it is "bacterial SSU rRNA". It matches the Rfam family "Bacterial small subunit ribosomal RNA", at positions 81 to 669 of the family's 1533-position model. The record is from RNAcentral.
UGCUGGGUGGAUUAGUGGCGAACGGGUGAGUAACACGUGGGUGAUCUGCCCUGCACUCUGGGAUAAGCCUGGGAAACUGGGUCUAAUACCGGAUAGGACCUUCGGCCGCAUGGCUGGGGGUGGAAAGUUUUUCGGUGCAGGAUGAGCCCGCGGCCUAUCAGCUUGUUGGUGGGGUAAUGGCCUACCAAGGCGACGACGGGUAGCCGGCCUGAGAGGGCGACCGGCCACACUGGGACUGAGACACGGCCCAGACUCCUACGGGAGGCAGCAGUGGGGAAUAUUGCACAAUGGGCGCAAGCCUGAUGCAGCGACGCCGCGUGAGGGAUGACGGCCUUCGGGUUGUAAACCUCUUUCACCCAUGACGAAGCGCAAGUGACGGUAGUGGGAGAAGAAGCACCGGCCAACUACGUGCCAGCAGCCGCGGUAAUACGUAGGGUGCGAGCGUUGUCCGGAAUUACUGGGCGUAAAGAGCUCGUAGGCGGUUUGUCGCGUCGUCUGUGAAAACCCGCAGCUCAACUGCGGGCUUGCAGGCGAUACGGGCAGACUCGAGUACUGCAGGGGAGACUGGAAUUC